GACAAAUUUUGGGCAGGUCUUCUAAACUUGUUUUGGGUUAGAACCCGUUUGUUU
Molecule: transfer RNA, 54 nt
Filed under: Steinernema glaseri
Lineage: Eukaryota; Metazoa; Nematoda; Chromadorea; Rhabditida; Steinernematidae
Description: tRNA-Ser
Source: RNAcentral